Molecule: ribosomal RNA, 466 nt
Filed under: uncultured bacterium
Lineage: Bacteria
Description: bacterial SSU rRNA
Rfam family: Bacterial small subunit ribosomal RNA
Source: RNAcentral
GGCCAGACUCCUACGGGAGGCAGCAGUGAGGAAUAUUGGUCAAUGGGCGAGAGCCUGAACCAGCCAAGUCGCGUGAAGGAUGACGGCCCUACGGGUUGUAAACUUCUUUUGUCAGGGAGCAAUUGGGUCCACGCGUGGGCUUAGCGAGAGUACCUGAAGAAUAAGCAUCGGCUAACUCCGUGCCAGCAGCCGCGGUAAUACGGAGGAUGCGAGCGUUAUCCGGAUUUAUUGGGUUUAAAGGGUGCGUAGGCGGAUUUUUAAGUCAGCGGUAAAAUGUCCGGGCUCAACCCGGGCCGGCCGUUGAAACUGGGGAUCUUGAGUGGGCGAGAAGUAUGCGGAAUGUGUGGUGUAGCGGUGAAAUGCAUAGAUAUCACGCAGAACUCCGAUUGCGAAGGCAGCAUACCGGCGCCCUACUGACGCUGAGGCACGAAAGCGUGGGUAUCGAACAGGAUUAGAUACCCCUGUA